GGGUCGUUAGCUCAGUGGGCAGAGCAGUUGACUUUUAAUCAAUUGGUCGCAGGUUCGAGCCGAGCAGAGCGAGACAACAACGCGCCAGCGUUGACCCGAAGGGCGAGUCCAGAGGACGAGUCAUCCCGCACGACCCACCA
RNAcentral lists this transfer RNA (140 nucleotides) under Yersinia pseudotuberculosis. Its description in RNAcentral is "tRNA-Lys". It matches the Rfam family "RtT RNA". From Rfam's summary of the family: This family represents a bacterial cis-regulatory element known as RtT RNA. The exact function of RtT is unknown although it is thought that it may be involved in changing the cellular response in relation to amino acid starvation. RNAcentral also lists the same sequence under 1 other name. Lineage: Bacteria; Pseudomonadati; Pseudomonadota; Gammaproteobacteria; Enterobacterales; Yersiniaceae. The record is from RNAcentral.